This 1405-nucleotide ribosomal RNA is filed under the name uncultured bacterium. RNAcentral's name for it is "bacterial SSU rRNA". It matches the Rfam family "Bacterial small subunit ribosomal RNA". The record is from RNAcentral.
GAGGUUGAUCAUGGCUCAGGACGAACGCUGGCGGCGUGCCUAAUACAUGCAAGUAGAACGCUGAAGAGAGGAGCUUGCUCUUCUUGGAUGAGUUGCGAACGGGUGAGUAACGCGUAGGUAACCUGCCUUGUAGCGGGGGAUAACUAUUGGAAACGAUAGCUAAUACCGCAUAACAAUAGGUGACACAUGUCAUUUAUUUGAAAGGGGCAAUUGCUCCACUACAAGAUGGACCUGCGUUGUAUUAGCUAGUAGGUGAGGUAACGGCUCACCUAGGCGACGAUACAUAGCCGACCUGAGAGGGUGAUCGGCCACACUGGGACUGAGACACGGCCCAGACUCCUACGGGAGGCAGCAGUAGGGAAUCUUCGGCAAUGGGGGCAACCCUGACCGAGCAACGCCGCGUGAGUGAAGAAGGUUUUCGGAUCGUAAAGCUCUGUUGUAAGUCAAGAACGAGUGUGAGAGUGGAAAGUUCACACUGUGACGGUAGCUUACCAGAAAGGGACGGCUAACUACGUGCCAGCAGCCGCGGUAAUACGUAGGUCCCGAGCGUUGUCCGGAUUUAUUGGGCGUAAAGCGAGCGCAGGCGGUUUGAUAAGUCUGAAGUUAAAGGCUGUGGCUCAACCAUAGUUCGCUUUGGAAACUGUCAAACUUGAGUGCAGAAGGGGAGAGUGGAAUUCCAUGUGUAGCGGUGAAAUGCGUAGAUAUAUGGAGGAACACCGGUGGCGAAAGCGGCUCUCUGGUCUGUAACUGACGCUGAGGCUCGAAAGCGUGGGGAGCGAACAGGAUUAGAUACCCUGGUAGUCCACGCCGUAAACGAUGAGUGCUAGGUGUUGGAUCCUUUCCGGGAUUCAGUGCCGCAGCUAACGCAUUAAGCACUCCGCCUGGGGAGUACGACCGCAAGGUUGAAACUCAAAGGAAUUGACGGGGGCCCGCACAAGCGGUGGAACAUGUGGUUUAAUUCGAAGCAACGCGAAGAACCUUACCAGGUCUUGACAUCCCGAUGCUAUUUCUAGAGAUAGAAAGUUACUUCGGUACAUCGGUGACAGGUGGUGCAUGGUUGUCGUCAGCUCGUGUCGUGAGAUGUUGGGUUAAGUCCCGCAACGAGCGCAACCCCUAUUGUUAGUUGCCAUCAUUCAGUUGGGCACUCUAGCGAGACUGCCGGUAAUAAACCGGAGGAAGGUGGGGAUGACGUCAAAUCAUCAUGCCCCUUAUGACCUGGGCUACACACGUGCUACAAUGGUUGGUACAACGAGUUGCGAGUCGGUGACGGCAAGCUAAUCUCUUAAAGCCAAUCUCAGUUCGGAUUGUAGGCUGCAACUCGCCUACAUGAAGUCGGAAUCGCUAGUAAUCGCGGAUCAGCACGCCGCGGUGAAUACGUUCCCGGGCCUUGUACACACCGCCCGUC